GACGAACCGUGCGAACGUUGUUCGGAAUCACUGGGCUUAAAGGGCGCGUAGGCGGGCGAUCAAGUCAGGGGUGAAAUCCCGCAGCUCAACUGCGGAAGUGCCUUUGAUACUGGUUGUCUCGAGGGAGAUAGGGGCAUGCGGAACUUCCGGUGGAGCGGUGAAAUGCGUAGAUAUCGGAAGGAACGCCGAUGGCGAAAGCAGCGUGCUGGAUCUCUUCUGACGCUGAGGCGCGAAAGCUAGGGGAGCAAACGGG
Molecule: ribosomal RNA, 253 nt
Filed under: uncultured bacterium
Lineage: Bacteria
Description: partial 16S ribosomal RNA
Rfam family: Bacterial small subunit ribosomal RNA
Source: RNAcentral